CAACCCUAAAUACUACCCAGUGACCGAUAGCGUAUAGUACUGUGAAGGAAAGGUGAAAAGCACCCCGGGAGGGGAGUGAAAAAGAACCUGAAACCCUGUGCCUACAAGCACCUAGAGCGCGUCAAAGCGUGAUAGGGUACUUUUUGUAGAACGGUCCGGCGAGCGAUUGUAUGCAGCAAGGUUAAGGACUUAAGGUCUGGAGCCGAAGCGAAAGCGAGUUUGAAAAGGGCGUUAAGUUGCAUACAAUGGGCCCGAAACCGGGUGACCUACCCAUGGUCAGGUUGAAGUGGAAGUAAAAUUCCAUGGAGGACCGAACCGACCUCCGUUGAAAAGGCGGCGGAUGAACUGUGGGUAGCGGAGAAAUUCCAAUCGAACCCGGAGAUAGCUGGUUCUCCCCGAAAUAGUUUUAGGACUAGCCUCAAGUUAGAUACCUGGAGGUAAAGCACUGAAUAGCCUAGCGGCCGAGAGGUUAGCGAAGCUUAUCAAACUCAGAAUGCCAGAGUAUUGAUGCUUGGGAGUCAGACAGUGUCAGAUAAAUGUCAUUGUCAAAAGGGAAACAGCCCAGAUCUACAGCUAAGGUCCCAAAGUCAGGUUAAGUGGAAAACGAUGUGAAGAUACGUAGACAACCAGGAUGUUGGCUCAGAAGCAGCCACUCAUUCAAAGAGUGCGUAAUAGCUCACUGGUCGAGCGUCUUUGCGCGGAGAAUUUAACGGGGCUAAACCUGACACCGAAGCUUAGGCAAUACAGCAAUGUAUUGGGUAGGGGAGCGUUGUAUACGCGGUGAAACAGUAGCGCAAGCGGCUGUGGAGUGUAUAGAAGUGAGAAUGCCGGAAUGAGUAGCGCGAAUGCAGUGAGAAUCUGCAUGGCCGAAAGCCUCAGGUUUCUGGAGGAAGGUUCGUCCGCUCCAGGUCAGUCGGGAGCUAAGGUGAGGCCUAACGGCGUAGCCGAUGCACAGACGGUAGAGAUUCCGUCACCACCAAAAGAGUUAAACACAGGGACACAUAUGAAGUCUCGGAGCCGGGUGUUGGUUCCGGUAGCGAUCGAGGGAAGUUAGUACCGAAGUCCGGGAUGGAAGAUGGCGAGAAAAGCUGUGUGUAUUUCUGCGGUGCCCGUACCGCAAACCGACACAGGUAGGUAGGAAGAAGAUUCUAAGGCCAACGGGAGAAGGGUUGUUAAGGAACUCGGCAAAUUGACCCCGUAACUUCGGGAGAAGGGGUGCUGCAGCAAUGCAGCCGCAGAGAAUCGGCCCAAGCAACUGUUUACCAAAAACACAGGUUUGUGCUAAAUCGAAAGAUGACGUAUACGAGCUGACGCCUGCCCGGUGCUGGAAGGUUAAGAGGAGAUGUGCAAGCAUUGAAUCGAAGCCCCAGUGAACGGCGGCCGUAACUAUAACGGUCCUAAGGUAGCGAAAUUCCUUGUCAGGUAAGUUCUGACCCGCAUGAAAGGCGUAAUGAUUUGGGCACUGUCUCAACAGCCCGCCCGGCGAAAUUGUAGUACCGGUGAAGAUGCCGGUUACCCGCGACAAGACGGAAAGACCCCAUGGAGCUUUACUGUAGCCUAAUAUUGGGUUUCGAUGUUGCAUGCACAGGAUAGAUGGGACACAGGGAAGCAGGUGCUUUGGCGCUUGUGGAGUGGCCGUUGGGAUACCAUCCUUGCGAUAUUGGAAUUCUAACCUGCGCCUUUGAAUCAAGGCGGGGGACAUUGUUAGGUGGGCAGUUUGACUGGGGCGGUCGCCUCCUAAAGAGUAACGGAGGCGUUCAAAGGUUCGCUCAGCUUGAACGGAAAUCAAGCAAAAGAGUGCAAACGCAGAAGCGAGCCUAACUGCGAGACUGACGGGUCGAGCAGUAACGAAAGUUGGAGUUAGUGAUCCGGUGGUAUGUGAGUGGAAAUGCCAUCGCUCAACGGAUAAAAGUUACCCUGGGGAUAACAGGCUGAUCUCCCCCAAGAGUCCACAUCGACGGGGAGGUUUGGCACCUCGAUGUCGGCUCAU
This 1990-nucleotide ribosomal RNA is filed under the name human gut metagenome. RNAcentral's name for it is "bacterial LSU rRNA". It matches the Rfam family "Bacterial large subunit ribosomal RNA", at positions 461 to 2540 of the family's 2925-position model. The record is from RNAcentral.